GGCUUCGUAACUAAGCUGGUAUAGCGCUUGCCGCAUUGAGACAUGAGGUUUCUGUCGCUGAUUCGAAUCCAGCCGAAGCCC
Molecule: transfer RNA, 81 nt
Filed under: Paragonimus skrjabini miyazakii
Lineage: Eukaryota; Metazoa; Platyhelminthes; Trematoda; Plagiorchiida; Troglotrematidae
Description: Paragonimus miyazakii tRNA-Leu
Rfam family: tRNA
About the family: Transfer RNA (tRNA) molecules are approximately 80 nucleotides in length.
Source: RNAcentral